UCAAGAAACUUCCACAAUGGGCGAAAGCCUGAUGGAGCGACGUCGCGUGAUGGACGAAGUGCUUCGGCACGUAAACAUCUUUUAUGUGGGAUGAAAUUAUUGACAGUACCACAUGAAUAAGGGGCUCCUAACUCUGUGCCAGCAGGAGCGGUAAUACAGAGGCCCCAAGCGUUAUCCGGAAUCACUGGGCGUAAAGGGUGUCGAGGCGGUUGUAUUAGUCGUUCGUAAAAUCUACGAGCUUAACUUGUAGGCGGCGAACGAAACGGUACGACUUGAGGUUUGGAGAGGUGCGUGGAACUCACGGUGUAGGGGUGAAAUCCGUUGAUAUCGUGGGGAACACCAAAGGCGAAGGCAGCGCACUGGCCAAAAUCUGACGCUCACACACGAAAGCUAGGGUAGCGAAGAGGAUUAGAUACCCCCGUAGUCCCCUGAGCGGGCUGGCAAGGCGCAU
This 451-nucleotide ribosomal RNA is filed under the name uncultured bacterium. RNAcentral describes it as "bacterial SSU rRNA". It matches the Rfam family "Bacterial small subunit ribosomal RNA", at positions 355 to 825 of the family's 1533-position model. The record is from RNAcentral.